Molecule: ribosomal RNA, 172 nt
Filed under: uncultured bacterium
Lineage: Bacteria
Description: partial 16S ribosomal RNA
Rfam family: Bacterial small subunit ribosomal RNA
Source: RNAcentral
GGCCUACGGGAGGCAGCAGUGGGGAAUAUUGCACAAUGGGGGGAACCCUGAUGCAGCAACGCCGCGUGAGCGAAGAAGGCCUUCGGGUCGUAAAGCUCUGUCCUAAGGGAAGAUAAUGACGGUACCUUAGGAGGAAGCCCCGGCUAACUACGUGCCAGCAGCCGCGGUAAUA